GUAGUCCAAGAGAUCGAGACU
RNAcentral lists this microRNA (21 nucleotides) under Prunus persica (peach). Its description in RNAcentral is "microRNA miRNA_114". Lineage: Eukaryota; Viridiplantae; Streptophyta; Magnoliopsida; Rosales; Rosaceae. The record is from RNAcentral.